GAGCGUGGAGUGCGGGGAAAUCCUGCAUGCUCCAUGUGGAGCAGGGGAAAAGCCGGAGAUAACAUCAAACGCUUACCUAUUGCUAA
Molecule: unclassified non-coding RNA, 86 nt
Filed under: Natribacillus halophilus
Lineage: Bacteria; Bacillati; Bacillota; Bacilli; Caryophanales; Bacillaceae
Source: RNAcentral